GUCCAAUGUGAUACAUAUAAUAGAGCAUCUCAAAAUUUAAAAAACAUCUCAAAGUAUAGAACAACUAUUAAAUUCCAUUGCAUGUACAACAAAAGCAACUAAAAUUCCAACCAUCAAGCCAAGUUUCUCAACAAAACUUGCAAAGAAUAAUGCAAGACUUUCAGGAGUUCUAGCACUCUUAACUCCAGUCACAAAGCCAGGUUUGUCAACAUUCCAAUUCCAGCCAUGCUAGCAAUACUCCAACCAUAUCCAGCAACCCACCACCUUCCAACAGCACUUCCAGCCAUAUAUCCAGAAACAAUUCAACCCAAACCCAGCAAACCAUUCUAUGCAAAAUCAAUCAAAAUACCCAAAGUUAUCAAAUGCAUAACAUCUACAGUACAAUCCUUAAUAGCAACCAUUAUAAUUUGAUACUACAAAUUCAUUUCAACAAUUUGUAACAGCUAACCAUUUUGUUACAAAUUUCAUACUCAAUACUAACCAUUUUGCUGACGCAAUGAGAAUGUCAGAAAAAUGGUUAGCCCACUCCAAACGAACCUCAUCUAAUUCAUCCUGAGUGUAUGAUUUAUUUCCAUUAAACUGUUAAUCGUAAGAAAUAAUAUUGUCAAACUUUAAAAAUAAUGUCACAUGUAGGAAAUAAAAGAAUGUUGACAUAUCUCAUCAUCAACUUACAUUGUUGGUUAACAAACUAACAUCCACUAUUAUUUCCUUCAUGUACCUUAACACAAAAUAACCACACUCUAAUUUUGCGAUAUUUUGUUUUGGAGCCUGUUCAUGAAAAAAAAAAGAUGAAAAUUUACAAAACCCAUCCAUUUUAGUUAAGGUACAUAAUCAAUAGGCUACAAAAAUACUUUUUUUCUUUUUUUUUACCUUCACAAUUCUCAUCUUGGUAUUAUAAUUCCAUUUUUCCUUACCAUCCUCUAAUGUGAAGAGUGUCAUGGCGCUGGAAACAAAACUAUACUGUUAUCUCUUAAUCAUAUUGAAGAAACUUAAACUAUCAAUUGCAGGAAAUAGACUAGUAUACAUACAUUUUAAGGAGCUGUUCUAAAUCAGUUUCAGGUCUGGAUUGCAUAGGAUCCACAUAAAAUACUUCCUUUUUUACCACAUCAAACACAACUAAUACCCAAUGGUAG
This 1133-nucleotide long non-coding RNA is filed under the name Citrus x clementina. RNAcentral describes it as "Citrus clementina (C. clementina) long non-coding RNA (CCLE_LNC002827)". The record is from RNAcentral. Lineage: Eukaryota; Viridiplantae; Streptophyta; Magnoliopsida; Sapindales; Rutaceae.